This is a long non-coding RNA of Carya illinoinensis, 552 nucleotides long. RefSeq lists it as uncharacterized. The record is from RefSeq and is a predicted model, not a curated record. The transcript has 4 exons. NCBI's taxonomy places the organism in Eukaryota, Viridiplantae, Streptophyta, Magnoliopsida, Fagales, Juglandaceae.
UCUCUCUCUCUCUCGUUCAUCUAACAUUCUGAAACCCUAGCCGCCGCUUUACUCAUUCUCUCUCGCUCUCAUCAGUCGUGGGGGCCUUCUCCAAUCUAAAGGUCGUCCCUCUCUCCAUCUUCUAGCAUUCUGUCGGUAGCAUACUCGAUGGGGACCAGCCUCAUCAUCAGUCCCUCUCUCGCUCUCAUCAGUCAUGGGGACCGGCCUGCCUGCUAUUGCCAAUGACACGGCUGGGCAGAAUACUCGAUGAAAGGUUACCCACAAGUAGAUACCAAGUUUUAUAAGUAUUUGCAGCGGGUCCCAAAGCAGUGGAUGCCGGUGGCUAUCAGGGAGAUCUAGUAGAUCGGUCUGUCUAGGUUUUCUUCAUCCGUGGGGCUGAGCCAUUUUUGCCAGUGGCAGUCCAUUUCCUCCUGUUGACAGAGGUGGAUUUGUGAGUGAAUUGCUUGCUAGUGGACCUGAAGGACCCAUUCCAUCAUCUAUGUUUCCUCUUUAAGUUUUCUUCAUUUUCAUGGGUCUUGCAGUAAAAUAGGACCAUUAGAUAUGUAAUUUUCA